This is a long non-coding RNA of Rhododendron vialii, 882 nucleotides long. RefSeq lists it as uncharacterized. Lineage: Eukaryota; Viridiplantae; Streptophyta; Magnoliopsida; Ericales; Ericaceae. The record is from RefSeq and is a predicted model, not a curated record. The transcript is spliced from 2 exons.
GGAACAGGGGAAGCCCUUGGUAAGGCACAAAAAAUAUUUUUGUUAAAUUGUCAAAAACUUGGUCUUGACGCGUUAAAGGAAAUAUAGUUUUACAUUGCUUAAGAGUGAAAUGGGUGAUCACUUAAUAUAUACUAGGAUCUCUCUCAAUGCCAAAUUGUUUCAUGCUAGGUGUGUCUUGCAUCCAUGGAUGGAUGGUAUUCCGCAGUUCAAAUCAUUUCUAUCGAAAAAUGCCUCUGAGUGAACACAUUGAGGCCUAUAAAAUGAACGGCUCAAAUCAUUAAGUCAAAUGAAACUAUGAUGGUCAUUUUGCUUUGCUUCGCAUGAGAGAAUCCACGCCCCGUCCCAUUGAUAUAAUGGACACGAAUUCUAGUACAAUCAACCUGCAAACUUAAUUUGUCACACCAUAUAUAUAGUGGAACGAACCACCAAAAUUUGCCACAACACUAUGAAAGAUACACACUACCAAAGCACAUUAACAACAGCCAUUUCUCUGCAGGGCUAGGUACCACACACUGCACACGGAGACUAAACACACUUUGUUGUAGGCCCUGCAAUGUGUAUUGUGUGGCUUUCAGGCAUCCAGGACCAUUGAUACCGUAUUACAAAACAAUUUACCGUAGUCCCGCUGAGAGGCAUAAACCAGUGAGAGCCCCGGUGAAAACCCCCACGUGUACAGGUACAAUAUUCAAGUGAGCAACUUUGGAAAAGGAGUACUCCAACUCUUUUACCCUCUUCUCACACUUCACCUUUUUCGAUCUAUAUUUUCCGGGAAUUCCGGUGACCAUGUGGACUAGUGACAUUUCUCGAAGAACUCAUGCUCGCAUUUCUCAAAAGCUUACGGAAUUCCGAUAGACUUAUCUUACCGUCUUUGUCAAUAUCAGC